This is a long non-coding RNA of Apis florea (little honeybee), 813 nucleotides long. NCBI's taxonomy places the organism in Eukaryota, Metazoa, Arthropoda, Insecta, Hymenoptera, Apidae. The record is from RefSeq and is a predicted model, not a curated record.
UUCAUUUUCGGCAAAUUUCUAAAACAUAAAUCGACUUCCCUUCUUUAUCAAACUUUCAAAGAUUCUUCCUUGAUAUUUUUCAUAUUCACAACAUUACCAAUAAUCUUUUAUAACAUACCAUAUUGAUCAAUUUAUUCGAAUAACCUACGAAGCGGCGGGUUCAAGAGGUUAUGGUCUCAAUGCCAGCGCACCACGACCUUAAGCCGGUAUCGCAUUGCGCCGAUUCUUUCCACAUCGUUCGAAUUACACGUACGGUAGGUAAGAGUAGAGACACGAGGAGAGGAGAUGGGCGGGUGUAAGUGCAUGCACCCAACCGACUCUUCGCGAGAUUCUAGGGAAGAUACACGGGGUCAUGGGUGGCCGGUGAAAAUGUCACGCUAGUUGAUACAGACUUUGAACGUUCCUGUAACCACGGCCGCGUUCGAUCACCUUUCAAACGAUCCUCGAACAAGUCGAUUUCAAGUACGAGAUGCUUUCAAGGAACAAACUGUGGAGAAUACUGUGUUUCGUGUCGCCAAUGAAAAACGUUUCUGAAACUGGUAAACUUGCACCGCUUGGUUAAGAAAAAGUAUGCCAGUCAUAAAGAUAAAAGACAUAUACGCGACCUAAUUUUGAGAUCGUGAGGUCGUCUAACAAAUUUGUUGAAAGUUCCUUCGUAUCUUGAUACAGAAUGUCUCUACGUUUGACGAAAUCCACUUAUAUAUUCCACGUCUGUAUAUAAUUCGUGCGUGAACACUUAUGAGUCACGCAAUUACUCAGCAUUCGUAAGAAUCGAAUGAAAUGUCGUACGAUUCUCGAUAUUAUUACGAAUUU